GGAUGAAGAACGCAGCGAAAUGCGAAAAGUAAUGUGAAUUGCAGAAUUCAGUGAACCAUCGAAUCUUUGAACGCACAUUGCGCCCGCUGGAACUCCGGCGGGCACGCCUGUCCGAGCGUCAUUUCAACCCUCAGGCCCCCCUUCGCGGGCGGGCCUGGUGUUGGGGCCCGGCCGCUACCCUGCGGCCGUCCCCUAAAUUCAGUGGCGGCCUCGCCGUGAUCCCUUGCGUAGUAAUGCACCUCGCACCGGAGAGCGCCGUGGCCACGCCGUAAAACCCCCAAUUUUCAAUGGUUGACCUCGGAUCAGGUGGGAAUACCCGCUGAACUUAAGCAUAUCAAUAAGCGGAGGA
Molecule: unclassified non-coding RNA, 349 nt
Filed under: soil metagenome
Description: partial contains 5.8S ribosomal RNA, internal transcribed spacer 2, and large subunit ribosomal RNA
Rfam family: 5.8S ribosomal RNA (bases 2-121)
Source: RNAcentral